AAAAAAGAAUGUUUACGUCUUAUCUUUGUAUAAAAUGCCUACAUUCUGAGUAUUGAACUUUUUCUUGUGGCAUGCGUCGAAUACUAUGCAAUGUCAUUUGUGUCACUCUUUGCAGUUGAAUAUUCCUAUUUUUCAUGUGUAAUACUAACCAUAAGGGGUUGUUUAUCUGCUAAACCAUCCUUUCCUGCCACAGGAUCCAGAUGAUACCCUAAAGAGGAAGACUUUUGAACUGCUUUAUAAAAUGACCAAGUCUUCCAAUGUGGAAGUGAUAGUUGAUCGCAUGAUUGAGUACAUGAUAAGCAUUAAUGAUAAUCACUACAAAUCAGAAAUAGCAUCACGAUGUAUUGAACUUGCAGAGCAGUAUGCGCCUAGUAACCAAUGGUUUAUUCAGACCAUGAAUUAGGUCUUUGAGCAUGCAGGCAAUCUUGUCAAUGUUAAGGUGGCACAUAAUUUAAUGUGGUUAAUUCCUGAAGGAUUUGGGGAGGACGAUGAAGGUGCAGAUAGUCAACUGUGAUCCUCUGCUGUAGAGUCUUAUCUACGGAUUAUUGGAGAGCCAAAGCUGCCGUCUUUGUUUUUGCAAGUAAUUUGUUGGGUCUUGGGGGAAUAUGGAACUGCAGACGGAAAGUUUUCUGCUUCCUAUAUCACUGGGAACUUAUGUGAUGUGGCAGAGGCUCAUCCAAGUGAUGACAUUGUCAAGGCAUAUGCAGUGACGACAAUUAUGAAGAUAUGUGCAUUUGAAAUUGUAACGGGAAGGAAAGUGGAUUUGUUGCCUGAGAGCUGAUGGACUUGUUGAGCAUUUGUUUCCCUGUGGAAGCUUGGUGGCUUGGGGUUUUUCUUGCGGGCCUGCUGGAAAUGGUUCUUCUUGGGCUUUGCCCAGAUCCAUUUUGUUGCCACUUAUUAUA
Telopea speciosissima is the source of this 902-nucleotide long non-coding RNA. RefSeq lists it as uncharacterized. The record is from RefSeq and is a predicted model, not a curated record. The transcript has 6 exons. NCBI's taxonomy places the organism in Eukaryota, Viridiplantae, Streptophyta, Magnoliopsida, Proteales, Proteaceae.